UGUUUCGGCAAGGGGGUCAUCCCGACUUACCAACCCGAUGCAAACUGCGAAUACCGGAGAAUGUUAUCACGGGAGACACACGGCGGGUGCUAACGUCCGUCGUGAAGAGGGAAACAACCCAGACCGCCAGCUAAGGUCCCAAAGUCAUGGUUAAGUGGGAAACGAUGUGGGAAGGCCCAGACAGCCAGGAUGUUGGCUUAGAAGCAGCCAUCAUUUAAAGAAAGCGUAAUAGCUCACUGGUCGAGUCGGCCUGCGCGGAAGAUGUAACGGGGCUAAACCAUGCACCGAAGCUGCGGCAGCGACGCUGAUGCGUUGUUGGGUAGGGGAGCGUUCUGUAAGCCUGUGAAGGUGUGCUGUGAGGCAUGCUGGAGGUAUCAGAAGUGCGAAUGCUGACAUAAGUAACGAUAAAGCGGGUGAAAAGCCCGCUCGCCGGAAGACCAAGGGUUCCUGUCCAACGUUAAUCGGGGCAGGGUGAGUCGACCCCUAAGGCGAGGCCGAAAGGCGUAGUCGAUGGGAAACAGGUUAAUAUUCCUGUAC
This 537-nucleotide ribosomal RNA is filed under the name Escherichia coli. Its description in RNAcentral is "partial 23S ribosomal RNA". It matches the Rfam family "Bacterial large subunit ribosomal RNA", at positions 911 to 1444 of the family's 2925-position model. The record is from RNAcentral. Lineage: Bacteria; Pseudomonadati; Pseudomonadota; Gammaproteobacteria; Enterobacterales; Enterobacteriaceae.